Molecule: ribosomal RNA, 497 nt
Filed under: uncultured bacterium
Lineage: Bacteria
Description: bacterial SSU rRNA
Rfam family: Bacterial small subunit ribosomal RNA
Source: RNAcentral
AUUGAACGCUGGCGGCAUGCCUUACACAUGCAAGUCGAACGGUAACAGGUUAAGCUGACGAGUGGCGAACGGGUGAGUAAUGUAUCGGAACGUGCCCAGUCGUGGGGGGAUAACGUAGCGAAAGCUGCGCUAAUACCGCAUACGAUCUAUGGAUGAAAGCGGGGGAUCGCAAGACCUCGCGCGAUUGGAGCGGCCGAUAUCAGAUUAGGUAGUUGGUGGGGUAAAGGCCCACCAAGCCGACGAUCUGUAGCUGGUCUGAGAGGACGACCAGCCACACUGGGACUGAGACACGGCCCAGACUCCUACGGGAGGCAGCAGUGGGGAAUUUUGGACAAUGGGCGCAAGCCUGAUCCAGCAAUGCCGCGUGCAGGAUGAAGGCCUUCGGGUUGUAAACUGCUUUUGUACGGAACGAAACAGCUCUUUCUAAUUACAGAGGGCGGAAUGACGGUACCGUAAGAAUAAGCACCGGCUAACUACGUGCCAGCAGCCGCGGUAAU